Molecule: ribosomal RNA, 301 nt
Filed under: uncultured bacterium
Lineage: Bacteria
Description: partial 16S ribosomal RNA
Rfam family: Bacterial small subunit ribosomal RNA
Source: RNAcentral
CAGUCGCCGCGGUAAUACGGAGGGUGCAAGCGUUAAUCGGAAUUACUGGGCGUAAAGCGCACGCAGGCGGUCUGUCAAGUCAGAUGUGAAAUCCCCGGGCUUAACCUGGGAACUGCAUUUGAAACUGGCAGGCUAGAGUCUUGUAGAGGGGGGUAGAAUUCCAGGUGUAGCGGUGAAAUGCGUAGAGAUCUGGAGGAAUACCGGUGGCGAAGGCGGCCCCCUGGACAAAGACUGACGCUCAGGUGCGAAAGCGUGGGGAGCAAACAGGAUUAGAUACCCGUGUAGUCCCUGUCUCUUAUCC